AGUGAACGCUGGCGGUAGGCCUAACACAUGCAAGUCGAACGGCAGCACAGGAGAGCUUGCUCUCUGGGUGGCGAGUGGCGGACGGGUGAGGAAUACAUCGGAAUCUACUUUUUCGUGGGGGAUAACGUAGGGAAACUUACGCUAAUACCGCAUACGACCUACGGGUGAAAGCAGGGGACCUUCGGGCCUUGCGCGAUUGAAUGAGCCGAUGUCGGAUUAGCUAGUUGGCGGGGUAAAGGCCCACCAAGGCGACGAUCCGUAGCUGGUCUGAGAGGAUGAUCAGCCACACUGGAACUGAGACACGGUCCAGACUCCUACGGGAGGCAGCGGUGGGGAAUAUUGGACAAUGGGCGCAAGCCUGAUCCAGACAUACCGCGUGGGUGAAGAAGGCCUUCGGGUUGUAAAGCCCUUUUGUUGGGAAAGAAAUCCAGCUGGCUAAUACCCGGUUGGGAUGACGGUACCCAAAGAAUAAGCACCGGCUAACUUCGUGCCAGCAGCCGCAGUAA
Molecule: ribosomal RNA, 506 nt
Filed under: uncultured bacterium
Lineage: Bacteria
Description: partial 16S ribosomal RNA
Rfam family: Bacterial small subunit ribosomal RNA
Source: RNAcentral